This 253-nucleotide ribosomal RNA is filed under the name uncultured bacterium. Its description in RNAcentral is "partial 16S ribosomal RNA". It matches the Rfam family "Bacterial small subunit ribosomal RNA", at positions 524 to 776 of the family's 1533-position model. The record is from RNAcentral.
GACAGAGGGUGCAAACGUUGUUCGGAAUUACUGGGCGUAAAGCGCGUGUAGGCGGCUCGGAAAGUCGGGUGUGAAAGCCCUGGGCUCAACCCAGGAAGUGCAUUCGAAACUCCCGAGCUCGAGUCCUGGAGAGGAUGGUGGAAUUCUCGGUGUAGAGGUGAAAUUCGUAGAUAUCGAGAGGAACACCGGUGGCGAAGGCGACCAUCUGGACAGUGACUGACGCUGAGGCACGAAAGCGUGGGGAGCAAACAGG